RNAcentral lists this ribosomal RNA (440 nucleotides) under uncultured bacterium. Its description in RNAcentral is "partial 16S ribosomal RNA". It matches the Rfam family "Bacterial small subunit ribosomal RNA", at positions 338 to 795 of the family's 1533-position model. The record is from RNAcentral.
CCUACGGGCGGCAGCAGUGGGGAAUAUUGCACAAUGGGCGAAACCCUGAUGCAGCGACGCCGCGUGAGCGAUGAAGGCCUUCGGGUUGUAAAGCUCUGUCAUCAAGGAAGAAAAUGACGGUACCUGACGAAGAAGCCCCGGCUAACUACGUGCCAGCAGCCGCGGUAAUACGUAGGGGGCUAGCGUUAUCCGGAUUUACUGGGGGUAAAGGGAGCGUAGAUGGUUCUGUAAGGCAGAUGUGAAAGGCCACGGCUCAACCCUUGGAAAGCAUUUGAAACUGGCAAGCUUGAGUGUAGGAGAGGAAGGCGGAAUUCCUAGUGUAGCGGUGAAAUGCGUAGAUAUUAGGAGGAACACCAGUUGCGAAGGCGGCUUGCUGGACUGUGACUGACAUUGAGGCUCGAAAGCGUGGGGAGCAAACAGGAUUAGAUACCCUAGUAGUC